Molecule: ribosomal RNA, 449 nt
Filed under: uncultured bacterium
Lineage: Bacteria
Description: partial 16S ribosomal RNA
Rfam family: Bacterial small subunit ribosomal RNA
Source: RNAcentral
AAUGAACGCUGGCGGCAGGCCUAACACAUGCAAGUCGAACGGAUCCUUCGGGAUUAGUGGCGGACGGGUGAGUAACGCGUGGGAACAUACCCUUUGGUACGGAAUAGCCUCGGGAAACUGGGAGUAAUACCGUAUGUGGUCGAGAGACGAAAGAUUUACCGCCAAAGGAUUGGCCCGCGUUGGAUUAGGUAGUUGGUGGGGUAAUGGCCUACCAAGCCGACGAUCCAUAGCUGGUUUGAGAGGAUGAUCAGCCACACUGGGACUGAGACACGGCCCAGACUCCUACGGGAGGCAGCAGUGGGGAAUCUUAGACAAUGGGGGAAACCCUGAUCUAGCCAUGCCGCGUGACCGAUGAAGGCCUUAGGGUUGUAAAGAUCUUUCAGGUGGGAAGAUAAUGACUGUACCACCAGAAGAAGCCCCGGCUAACUCCGUGCCAGCCGCCGCGGUAA